AACGAACGCUGGCGGCAUGCCUAACACAUGCAAGUCGAACGAGACCUUCGGGUCUAGUGGCGCACGGGUGCGUAACGCGUGGGAACCUGCCCUUAGGUUCGGACUAACUCCCCGAAAGGGGUGCUAAUACCGGAUAAUGUCUUCGGCCCAAAGAUUUCUCGCCUUUGGAUGGGCCCGCGUUGGAUUAGCUAGUUGGUAGGGUAAAAGCCCACCAAGGCGACGAUGCGUAGCUGGUCUGGGAGGAUGGUUAGCCACACCUGGACUAGGACCCGGCCCAGACUCCUACGGGAGGGAGGAAUGGGGGACAGUGGACAAUGGGCGAAAGCCUGAUCCAGCAAUGCCGCGUGAGUGAUGAAGGCCUUAGGGUUGUAAAGCUCUUUUACCCGGGAUGAUAAUGACAGUACCGGGAGAAUAAGCUCCGGCUAACUCCGUG
Molecule: ribosomal RNA, 433 nt
Filed under: uncultured bacterium
Lineage: Bacteria
Description: partial 16S ribosomal RNA
Rfam family: Bacterial small subunit ribosomal RNA
Source: RNAcentral